GGGUCAGUAGGUUGGUCGUGCCACCGGUACGUACUGGUCUCACUGAUUCCUCCUCCCUGAAGAACCGUAAUACCAUUAAUUUGGUGUUGCGGGGAAACAGGACUGUUACUUUGAAAAAAUUAGAGUGUUUAAAGCAAGCUAACGCUUGAAUACAUUAGCAUGGAAUAAUGAAAUAGGACGAUCGAUCCUAUUUUGUUGGUUUCUAGGAUUGACGUA
RNAcentral lists this ribosomal RNA (216 nucleotides) under Glomeromycotina sp. Its description in RNAcentral is "partial small subunit ribosomal RNA". The stretch from base 75 to 216 matches the Rfam family "Eukaryotic small subunit ribosomal RNA", at positions 721 to 864 of the family's 1831-position model. Lineage: Eukaryota; Fungi; Glomeromycota. The record is from RNAcentral.